GGGGACGUGGUCUAGCUUGGUGGGAUGCCGGCCUUGGGAGCCGGAGGUCAGGGGUUCAAAUCCCCUCGUCCCCA
RNAcentral lists this transfer RNA (74 nucleotides) under archaeon. RNAcentral describes it as "tRNA-Pro". It matches the Rfam family "tRNA". From Rfam's summary of the family: Transfer RNA (tRNA) molecules are approximately 80 nucleotides in length. Their secondary structure includes four short double-helical elements and three loops (D, anti-codon, and T loops). The record is from RNAcentral.